Long non-coding RNA from Mus musculus (house mouse), 1478 nucleotides. RefSeq annotates it as predicted gene, 31420. The record is from RefSeq and is a predicted model, not a curated record. The transcript has 3 exons. Lineage: Eukaryota; Metazoa; Chordata; Mammalia; Rodentia; Muridae.
GUUCCUAGAAGGUUCCAUAGAAUAAAAUAGAAGAAAGAGGAACACUUCUAGAAGGUCUGAAGCCUAGAGCCUCAGAAUCUCAUCUGAUGUACUGGAGGGGCACACCGCUUAACUCCACAUCCACUGAGAUCUAUAGAGCCAGGACCCCAUUUGUGCCACAUUUACACUUUGGGAGACCUUGGCCUGGGGUCCCCGCAUGCCCAGGAGUUCUGUAAUGGUUGGUCUUCUUUGUCAAUUUCUCUGGAUUAGAAGCACCUAGGAAACAACACUGUGUGGAUUUAUAAAAGUGCAUUCAGAGAAGACUUACCCUGAAUAUGAGGGGACAGAAUCUCAUGUGCUGGGUUUUGUCAGGAUGAGAGGAAGGUGGGGAGAUGGAGCGUGGGCUCAUCGGGUAAGAAUUUGCAUUGCCCUUGCAGAGGACCUGAGUUCAGUUGCCAACACUCACAACUGGGCCCUGUACAACCACCACCUUCUGGCUCCAGGGGGGUCCUACAUUCUUUUUCUGCCUUCUAGGGGAAGAUUGCACUCACCUGUACAAACUCAAACAGACACAACGCGAACAUGUAGUUACACAAUCACAUUUUUUUAAGGGAAGGUGAGUUGAGCAUUCCUUUGUUUCUUACCUGUCUGGAAACAAUGUAACCAGCUGCCUCAGACUCCCGCUGGCAUGCUUGCCUUGCUGUGGCAGACUGCAUCUCUUCUUGGUUCCUUCCUUAAAUUGUCUCUUGUCAGGCAUUUGACACAACAUCCGGAAAACACACCAGCUAAAGAAUUGCUGUUUCAGCCCACGUUGCUGAUUAGAAUCAGCUGAACAGCACAAAUGAAAUCUUCACCUUUAGAAAAAAAAAAUGCUUCACCGUUGUGUAACUCAGAUUGCAGAGGCUUGGAGUGGUUCAAUCGCACGACCCAGCAGAGGGAAGCACAGACAGCAGCCUAGCAUAACUGUUUUCUGAGAGGCUCCACCCAUCAGCUGACUGAAACAGAUGCAGUGACCCACAACCAAAUAUUAGAGGGAGUUUGGAAGGAGACUCCACAGGAAGACCAACAGAGUCAACUAACCUGAACCCUUGGAAGCUCCCAGAAAUCGGACCACCAACCAAAGAGCAUACACAGGCUGGACCUAGGCUUCCCACUCAUAUGUUACUGUGGGGAGUGGGUGUGGCGGUUAUCCCAAGAUGGUGCCCGGGACUGUAGCCAAGUCUAAUGACUUGCACCUGACUUCCUCAUACACCUGAAAAUAAGGCACGUCCAUCGUGAGAGCUGCGCAGGCCCACCAUGAUGCAAGAUCAGGCCAUUUGAUGAAGGCCAAUGAACUGAGAUUACGCGGACUGGGCUGAUGGGGCGUGGUUGAGGGGUUAUAUAAGGGAUUGCGAUUGGGGCUAGAGGAGAUUCCUGCUUGCAUGUUGAAAGCUUCCUGAAUAAACUGCUUUGAGAAGAACGCUGUGUCGUCACUCUUUUUUGCUGGUCGGAGACAGAAG